CCUACGGGAGGCAGCAGUGAGGAAUAUUGGUCAAUGGGCGGAAGCCUGAACCAGCCAAGUAGCGUGCGGGAUGAAGGCCCUACGGGUGGUAAACCGCUUUUGCACGGGGGUAACACCCUCCACUUGUGUAGUUCUACAGGUACCGUGCGAAUAAGAGCCGGCUAAUACCGUGCCAUAAGCCGCGGUAAUACGGAAGGCCCGAGCGUUAUCCGGAUUCGUUGGGUUAAAAGGGUGCGCAGGCGGAAGAGAAAGUCAGCGGUAAAAUUAAGGGGCUAAACCUCGUCGAGCCGUUGAAACUGGUUGGCUUGAGUGAGCGAGAAGUAUGCGGAAGGCGUGGUGUAGCGGUGAAAUGCAUAGAUAUCACGCAGAACUCCGAUUGCGAAGGCAGCAUACCGGCGCUCAACUGACGCUCAUGCACGAAAGUGUGGGUAUCGAACAGGAUUAGAUACCCUAGUAGUC
Molecule: ribosomal RNA, 459 nt
Filed under: uncultured bacterium
Lineage: Bacteria
Description: partial 16S ribosomal RNA
Rfam family: Bacterial small subunit ribosomal RNA
Source: RNAcentral